UUUCCGUAGGUGAACCUGCGGAAGGAUCAUUGUCGAGACCCUCAUAGAUCAGAGUGACGGGAGAACUUGUCACCUAGCGCCUGCAAGGGACCGCAUUGUUUUAACAAGUCUGCCUGUUGUCGUUCAUCCAAGGACGCAACGGAAAGAUGACAUUCCCUGGGCCAUGUUCAGCGCCAAGGAAAGAUUUUGAAUAAGUAGGGAGAGAUGUUUUUACCCCAUGCUUUACUCGUAUGCAUUGUAGCAGGGGGAAGAGCUGCUUCUCCAAUUCAUAGAGUUUACAUGACUCUCGACAACGGAUAUCUUGGCUCUU
RNAcentral lists this unclassified non-coding RNA (310 nucleotides) under soil metagenome. RNAcentral describes it as "partial contains small subunit ribosomal RNA, internal transcribed spacer 1, and 5.8S ribosomal RNA". The record is from RNAcentral.